Molecule: ribosomal RNA, 496 nt
Filed under: uncultured bacterium
Lineage: Bacteria
Description: partial 16S ribosomal RNA
Rfam family: Bacterial small subunit ribosomal RNA
Source: RNAcentral
GACGAACGCUGGCGGCGUGCCUAAUACAUGCAAGUUGAGCGAUGAAGAUUGGUGCUUGCACCAAUUUGAAGAGCAGCGAACGGGUGAGUAACGCGUGGGGAAUCUGCCUUUGAGCGGGGGACAACAUUUGGAAACGAAUGCUAAUACCGCAUAACAACUUUAAACAUAAGUUUUAAGUUUGAAAGAUGCAAUUGCAUCACUCAAAGAAGAUCCCGCGUUGUAUUAGCUAGUUGGUGAGGUAAAGGCUCACCAAGGCGAUGAUACAUAGCCGACCUGAGAGGGUGAUCGGCCACAUUGGGACUGAGACACGGCCCAAACUCCUACGGGAGGCAGCAGUAGGGAAUCUUCGGCAAUGGACGAAAGUCUGACCGAGCAACGCCGCGUGAGUGAAGAAGGUUUUCGGAUCGUAAAACUCUGUUGGUAGAGAAGAACGUUGGUGAGAGUGGAAAGCUCAUCAAGUGACGGUAACUACCCAGAAAGGGACGGCUAACUACGU